This 462-nucleotide long non-coding RNA is filed under the name Homo sapiens (human). RNAcentral's name for it is "HSALNT0183781". Lineage: Eukaryota; Metazoa; Chordata; Mammalia; Primates; Hominidae. The record is from RNAcentral.
CUUGGACUCAUCAUCGUCACUACUCCCACCACUGAUCUGGAAUGUGUGGCCUCCCUCCCCCACCGUCACCGCCUCCAAGGGGCCUCCUCCACUCCACCUGCGGCUUCUUCCCAUGAGCUGCACAGCUGUUCUCACCCCCAUCGGAGGCGCCCUCCUAACCCCGCGGUGGAGGAGAGCACAGGGAGGCUCAGGAGAAACUGGAAGCCUUGCUAGUUCCCGGGGGUGGGGCAGACAUCCCUCAGCAGGCCAGACACCUGCUGCAAUGUGAGCAAUUCUGUAUCCACCCAACGAACAUCGCUGCCUACCUGCCUGCCAGGCACUAUGCCAGACGCCAUGGCCUUGUCACCUAAAGCAGGGGUUCUGCCCUCAGAGGAAUGCUCGUGCAAGCGGGUACAUCCGUGGCUUCACUACAAUCUGAUGGGCCCAUGUCAGCUGCAAUGGCCCCAAGUACAGGAGCUUUAG